Acanthosepion pharaonis is the source of this 100-nucleotide non-coding RNA. The record is from the annotation of a GenBank genome assembly. Lineage: Eukaryota; Metazoa; Mollusca; Cephalopoda; Sepiida; Sepiidae.
CGUUGAAACAUCGGUUCCCGUACGUUCACCGAAGUUAAGCAACACCGAGCCUGAUCAGUACCAAGAUGGGUGACUGCUUAGGAAUACCAGCUGCUGUAAG